RNAcentral lists this ribosomal RNA (253 nucleotides) under uncultured bacterium. Its description in RNAcentral is "partial 16S ribosomal RNA". It matches the Rfam family "Bacterial small subunit ribosomal RNA", at positions 524 to 776 of the family's 1533-position model. The record is from RNAcentral.
UACAGAGGGGGCAAGCGUUGUUCGGAAUUACUGGGCGUAAAGGGCGCGUAGGCGGCCUGUUAAGUCGGACGUGAAAUCCCUCGGCUCAACCGGGGAACUGCGUCCGAUACUGGCGGGCUUGAAUUCGGGAGAGGGAUGUGGAAUUCCAGGUGUAGCGGUGAAAUGCGUAGAUAUCAGGAAGAACACCUAUGGCGAAGGCAGCUCUCUGGGACGGUACUGACGCUGAGACGCGAAAGCGUGGGGAGCGAACAGG